UACGUAGGGACCAAGCGUUGUUCGGAUUUACUGGGCGUAAAGGGCGCGUAGGCGGCUUUGCAAGUGGCGGGUGAAAUCCCUCGGCUUAACCGAGGAACUGCCUGCCAGACUGUGAGGCUUGAGACCGGGAGAGGUGAGUGGAAUUCCCAGUGUAGCGGUGAAAUGCGUAGAGAUGUGGAGGAACACCAGUGGCGAAGGCGACUCUUUGGCCUGUAACUGACGCUGAGGCGCGAAAGCGUGGGGAGCGAACAGG
RNAcentral lists this ribosomal RNA (253 nucleotides) under uncultured bacterium. Its description in RNAcentral is "partial 16S ribosomal RNA". It matches the Rfam family "Bacterial small subunit ribosomal RNA", at positions 524 to 776 of the family's 1533-position model. The record is from RNAcentral.